GAUGAACGCUGGCGGCGUGCUUAACACAUGCAAGUCGAACGCUGAAGCCUGGUGCUUGCACUGGGUGGAUGAGUGGCGAACGGGUGAGUAACACGUGAGUAACCUGCCCUUGACUUCGGGAUAAGCCCGGGAAACUGGGUCUAAUACUGGAUAUGACCUCCUACUGCAUGGUGGGGGGUGGAAAGAUUUAUCGGUUGGGGAUGGACUCGCGGCCUAUCAGUUUGUUGGUGGGGUAAUGGCCUACCAAGACGACGACGGGUAGCCGGCCUGAGAGGGUGACCGGCCACACUGGGACUGAGACACGGCCCAGACUCCUACGGGAGGCAGCAGUGGGGAAUAUUGCACAAUGGGCGCAAGCCUGAUGCAGCGACGCCGCGUGAGGGAUGACGGCCUUCGGGUUGUAAACCUCUUUCAGUAGGGAAGCAGCCCCUCGGGGUGACGGUACCUGCAGAAGAAGCGCCGGCUAACUACGUGCCAGCAGCCGCGGUAAUACGUAGGGCGCAAGCGUUAUCCGGAAUUAUUGGGCGUAAAGAGCUCGUAGGCGGUUUGUCGCGUCUGCUGUGAAAGCCCGGGGCUUAACUCCGGGUGUGCAGUGGGUACGGGCAGGCUAGAGUGCAGUAGGGGAGACUGGAAUUCCUGGUGUAGCGGUGGAAUGCGCAGAUAUCAGGAGGAACACCGAUGGCGAAGGCAGGUCUCUGGGCUGUUACUGACGCUGAGGAGCGAAAGCAUGGGGAGCAAACAGGAUUAGAUACCCUGGUAGUCCAUGCCGUAAACGUUGGGCACUAGGUGUGGGGGACAUUCCACGUUUUCCGCGCCGUAGCUAACGCAUUAAGUGCCCCGCCUGGGGAGUACGGCCGCAAGGCUAAAACUCAAAGGAAUUGACGGGGGCCCGCACAAGCGGCGGAGCAUGCGGAUUAAUUCGAUGCAACGCGAAGAACCUUACCAAGGCUUGACAUGGACCGGAUCGGCGCAGAGAUGUGUUUUCCCUUCGGGGCUGGUUCACAGGUGGUGCAUGGUUGUCGUCAGCUCGUGUCGUGAGAUGUUGGGUUAAGUCCCGCAACGAGCGCAACCCUCGUUCUAUGUUGCCAGCACGUUAUGGUGGGGACUCAUGGGAGACUGCCGGGGUCAACUCGGAGGAAGGUGGGGAUGACGUCAAAUCAUCAUGCCCCUUAUGUCUUGGGCUUCACGCAUGCUACAAUGGCCGGUACAAUGGGUUGCGAUACUGUGAGGUGGAGCUAAUCCCAAAAAGCCGGUCUCAGUUCGGAUUGGGGUCUGCAACUCGACCCCAUGAAGUCGGAGUCGCUAGUAAUCGCAGAUCAGCAACGCUGCGGUGAAUACGUUCCCGGGCCU
Molecule: ribosomal RNA, 1350 nt
Filed under: uncultured bacterium
Lineage: Bacteria
Description: bacterial SSU rRNA
Rfam family: Bacterial small subunit ribosomal RNA
Source: RNAcentral